This 421-nucleotide ribosomal RNA is filed under the name uncultured eukaryote. RNAcentral describes it as "SSU rRNA". It matches the Rfam family "Eukaryotic small subunit ribosomal RNA", at positions 567 to 990 of the family's 1831-position model. The record is from RNAcentral.
CCAGCAGCCGCGGUAAUUCCAGCUCCAAUAGCGUAUAUUAAAGUUGUUGCAGUUAAAAAGCUCGUAGUUGGAUUUCUGGCAGGAGCGUCCGGUCUCACACUCAGUGCGGGAACUUGGAUGUCUCUGGCCAUCUUUGGGGAUAUCCUGUUUGGCAUUAAGUUGUCGGGCAGGGGAUACCCAUCGUUUACUGUGAAAAAAUUAGAGUGUUUAAAGCAGGCUUAUGCCGUUGAAUAUAUUAGCAUGGAAUAAUAAGAUAGGACUUUGGUACUAUUUUGUUGGUUUGUGCACCAGAGUAAUGAUUAAUAGGGACAGUUGGGGCUAUUCGUAUUCCAUUGUCAGAGGUGAAAUUCUUGGAUUUCUGGAAGACGAACUACUGCGAAAGCAUUUAGCAAGGAUGUUUUCAUUAAUCAAGAACGAAAGU